Pistacia vera is the source of this 2063-nucleotide RNA transcript. It is a transcript of the gene named transcription initiation factor TFIID subunit 12-like, with no coding region annotated. The transcript has 10 exons. NCBI's taxonomy places the organism in Eukaryota, Viridiplantae, Streptophyta, Magnoliopsida, Sapindales, Anacardiaceae. The record is from RefSeq and is a predicted model, not a curated record.
UCUCGUACUUAAACGAGCCAUUUUUGCAUAAAGAGGGCGAGAGAACAAUUUCCUAACACCCACAGAGAGACCAUAACCAUAAUUCCCAGAACAAUCCUCAUCCCAAUUUUUCCUCCAUUCCUCCAUGGACCAACAACAACCACCACCACCACAAACUCCUACACCUCCCACCACCACCGCUGAACCACCCGUACAACCACCACCGCCACAACAACAAGAAUCACCAUCACCGUUACCCUCCACCACCUCAACUCCUCCAACCCCUACAUCAAACCCUAACCCUAACUCUAAUCAGCCCCAACCCCCAAAACCCACACUCACACCACAACCCAGACCGACCUCAUUUUCCAGACCCUGGCAGCAGCAACAACAACAACAGCCCUCACAUUUUUCUCACUUCUCUUCCCUUCCUUCUUCCCCUUCUUCUUCUCCGUCUUCCUCUGCUUCCGCGCCGCAGAGGGGUGGCAUUGCCCUUGGCGUUCCGGCGCCCCGCCCUGCGGCGUCUUCUUCGCAACCCACACCGUCCUUCUCGGCUUCUUUCGGUCAGCAGUUUGGUAGCUUGGGCCGGACUGGAGUUAACGUGCCUGAUUCAUUAUCUAAUUCCAGUCCAUUGCAGGCAAGGCAACAAGUGCAAGGAAUUCAGGGGAUGGGAAUGAUAGGAUCACUAGGUUCUGGUGCACAAUUGCGGCCUGGUGGGAUUUCUGUUCAACACCAUCAGCAGAGGCCCACACAACAAUCAUCCCUUCGUCCACCACCAUCGCCCCCAAGUAGCCAACCCCCUGCUACCCAGAAUUUUCAAGGUCAAGGUCUUAUGAGAGUCUCACCGGUGGGCUCUCCUGGGUCUACUGCACCAAAUGCAUCACAAAGCAUUCAGUCCCUUAAUCAGCCAUGGUUAUCUUCUGGAUCACAAGGAAAGCCUCCUUUGCCACCCCCCUCUUCAUAUAGACCUCAGUUGAGCUCACCAUCCAUGCAGCAAAGGGUACAUAUUCCUCAGCAACAUGUUCCUUUGUCAACAACUUCGCAGCAACAGCAUGUGUCAUCUGUGCAGCCACAACAACCUAAACCAUCUCAUCAGCCGCAGGAGUCUUAUGGGCAACAAUUUCCCUCAUCAAGGGUCCCUCAAUCUUUACCACAUCAACAACAAAUUUCAAGGGCCCAGACUUCUGCAGUUCAUAAGCCUUCCUCUCUUUCAAUGGUACAACCUAUCACUGUCCAGCAAGCGACCCAGAGUAGAGUAGUCAGUGCAGAAAGUGAUGAAUCUAAUAAUCAGAUUGUCAGCAAAAGAAGCAUCAAUGAGCUUGUUAACCAGAUUGAUCCAUCAGAGAGGUUGGAUCCUGAAGUCGAAGAUAUUCUUGUGGAUAUUGCAGAAGAUUUUGUGGAGUCUAUUAUUACAUUUGGUUGCUCAUUAGCAAAGCAUCGGAAGUCAGAUACAUUGGAAGCAAAAGACAUACUUCUACAUGUUGAACGAAAUUGGAAUAUGACACUUCCUGGGUUCAGCUGUGAUGAGAUUAAGACCUAUAGAAAACCGCUUACAAAUGAUAUCCACAAGGAGCGACUUGCAGUGAUAAAGAAAUCAGUCAUGGCAACCGAGUUAACAAGUACUAAAACUUCUGCUGGACAAGCUGCUGUAAAUUCAAAGAGUAACCUGGGAAAGAUACCUGCCAAUAUCAUAGGCUCUACAUGAGGCAGUUUUUGAUGGUGCUCCAUGUUAGAUUCUUUUCUGCUAUGAAGGUAUUUCUUGCUGCUCUGAGAUCCUCUCCACAACCGUUGAUGAAACGGAAGCCUGAAAUUAUUGUUGAUAAGCCAUAGCCACAAUCAUUUUCUCAUCUCUCUCGGUUUUCUCAUUUUCAUUUCUUUCACUGCUUUAAAAUAUUUUAAAGGAAAUAAAACAAACAGUGGAUAGAAUUCUCGUCCUCUAGUUGUCUAGACAGAAAGCUAUAAGCUUGAAAGACAUCAUCUUUUCAAGAACCAAAUAGUGUUAAACAUGCAAGACUCAAAUGAGAAAUGUGUGGGGUUUAACAAGUUGCUGAAAUAGGUAAUUUCUAGCUGGUACGAUAUUUGCU